AGAGAGUGACCUCAGAUGACUGAGAUGGAUAAAGCCAGCGAUGGUGACACAUGAAAGAUUAUACACUUUGCUAGGGCAGAGACUGUUAGAUUUAUUUCUGAAGCCCUGGGAGCCAGGGCCUGAUGCAGUGCAGAUGCUUGGUGAACAUUUGUGGAGCAAAUGAACGAACUCACAGAACAGCUUUUGAACAGCUUUGCCACAAAGUAUGUACAAAGUCAUUUCUCUAUAAUAUGCUUCAAAAACUACAUGUUCUCCUGCAAUUGGGGAUUUUCUGGUUGUUCUUUUUUGGCUUUCUGCUGGCUCAUUUCUCAGAGCAGCUGGAGAAGGCUCCAUUUCCCUAGGGUCUAGAUCAUUUCCUAUAACAUUGGUGCUUGGGCUACUGUGGGUCCAGGUUCUCUGGGAAAACUGUGGU
This 412-nucleotide long non-coding RNA is filed under the name Mus pahari (shrew mouse). Its description in RNAcentral is "lncRNA (MGP_PahariEiJ_G0002189.1)". The record is from RNAcentral. Lineage: Eukaryota; Metazoa; Chordata; Mammalia; Rodentia; Muridae.